AGGGGAAUAUUGGACAAUGGGCGCAAGCCUGAUCCAGCCAUGCCGCGUGAGUGAUGAAGGCCCUAGGGUUGUAAAGCUCUUUCACCGGGGAAGAUAAUGACGGUAACCGGAGAAGAAGCCCCGGCUAACUUCGUGCCAGCAGCGGCGGUAAUACGAAGGGGGCUAGCGUUGUUCGGAUUUACUGGGCGUAAAGCGCACGUAGGCGGACUUUUAAGUCAGGGGUGAAAUCCCGGGGCUCAACCCCGGAACUGCCUUUGAUACUGGAAGUCUUGAGUAUGGUAGAGGUGAGUGGAAUUCCGAGUGUAGGGGUGAACUGCGUAUAUAUUCGGAAGAACACCUGUGGCGAAGGCGGCUCACUGGACCAUUACUGACGCUGAGGUGCGAAAGCGUGGGGAGCAAACAGG
RNAcentral lists this ribosomal RNA (404 nucleotides) under Actinomycetes bacterium. Its description in RNAcentral is "Actinobacteria bacterium partial 16S ribosomal RNA". It matches the Rfam family "Bacterial small subunit ribosomal RNA", at positions 355 to 776 of the family's 1533-position model. Lineage: Bacteria; Bacillati; Actinomycetota; Actinomycetes. The record is from RNAcentral.